This 465-nucleotide ribosomal RNA is filed under the name uncultured bacterium. RNAcentral describes it as "partial 16S ribosomal RNA". It matches the Rfam family "Bacterial small subunit ribosomal RNA", at positions 28 to 507 of the family's 1533-position model. The record is from RNAcentral.
GAUGAACGCUGGCGGCGUGCUUAACACAUGCAAGUCGAACGGAAAUUCUCCUGCUUGCGGUUGUACUCGAGUGGCGAACGGGUGAGUAACCCGUUGGUUAUCUGCUCUGCACUUUGGGCUAAGCCUGGGAAACUGGGUCUAAUACCGGUUAUGAUCACACUUUGCAUUGUGUGCUGGAUAGUUUUUCGGUGUGGGAUGGGCUCGCGGCCUAUCAGCUUGUUGGUGGGGUAUUGGUUUACUAAGGGGUCGAGGGGUAGCCGACCUGAGAGGGUGUACGGCCACAUUGGGACUGAGAUACGGCCCAGAAGCCUACGGGAGGCAGCAGUGGAGAGUAUGGCACAAUGGGCGCAAGCCUGAUGCAGCGGCGCCGGGUGGGGGAUGACGGCCUUCGGGUGAUAAACACCGUUCGCUAGGGACGAAGCGCAAGUGACGGUACCUGGAGAAGAAGCAACGGCUAACUACGUG